UGAUAAAGUUUUCUGUCAAAAAUACAUUUUCUGCAACUUAGUACAACGAACUCUGAUUUUAAUAGUUUAUUCAAUGGGUUAACUCUGAUGUCAUUAGAACUAUGUCAAAUUUUAUAUCCUUCGUAUCGCCUGAGUGAAUUUAACAAGUUAUAUAAUAAUUAAUAAAGAUAAAAAUUCAGGAUAAGAUUUAAAAAUAGCCUGUUUGAUACAAAUAAACAUUUUAUGAUCUUUUUUUUUUGUGGAGAAAAUAUAAAGUUACCAGACAAUUAAUCCGCAACUUUAUUAAAUUCUAAUUAUAAUGGCCAACAGAUGCUGCUAACUUUAAUAUUCAGCAUACAAAGGAUUCUGCCAUUUUCCCAAGAUUAUGUUAAUUAUUUGUGGUUUAUAAUCCAUAUAGAUUUUAAAUAUACGACUUGUAUUUUUGUAUGUAUGAACAUGAUUUUUACCGAUGAAGCUUCUUGUACGGAUACUUUUGGAAUGAAUCUUCGUUAGGUAAGUAAGUAUAUUUAAACCCUUUCUAUAACAAGUGGAAGUUAAUAAGAAAAGAAAUUUAAGCAGAAAAAUCACACAAGGAAAUUUAAAUGCGUAAUUUUCCGUUAUUCAUUACCAUAAAAAUAUUUAUUUAGUUUUUUUUAACUCCUCUUUUUUUAGGUAUAAAUUUAUUCUAGAGCCGUGAGGAAGGCCUCAAUUCGCUUGAGUGAUGAUAGGAUUUGCUUGGAUGAAUGUCCGUUGUGCUGUAUAAAACUGUAUCCUAAAUGGGUGCUAGAAGGUAUUACCUGGCUACUAAUAGAAACAGGAGUGUAAGAAUUCGAAAGGGAAAAAAACACUACCAGAUUGUACCUGUCUCUCAUCUGUAAGUCCACUAUCUGGUACCGUUCAUCCCCAUAAAUAAUGUAGGACGCUCGUUAUAUAAAGAGGUGACGCCGUUCUUGUACUCAUUUCUGUGCGAAACAUCAACAUGAUCAACAAUAAAAUGCAGUUCGUAGCGGCAUUUUUGUGCCUGGUCCUUGUAAUAUCGUCCGUCAGUGCCGAUGGUCACCACGGAGGAGUUAGUAUUAAAGUUUAUCGAGGACCUUCUCAAGGACACGGACAUCAUAAAUUUGCCCCUUUCGGAUACUACGUGAAGCUUCCCGCUGACAGCCACCAUCACCAUCAUCACGGUCAUCAUUAAAGAUAAAUCGUUGUACAGAAACAGCCCCCGGCGAGAGUUCGUAGGAAAUUUCCGAAUUUUAUCCUGAGUUUGCUAGACCACGUAUUUUGCGGGAUUGGAAGACGUUGAUCAUUUG
This is a long non-coding RNA of Centruroides sculpturatus (bark scorpion), 1286 nucleotides long. RefSeq lists it as uncharacterized. The transcript is spliced from 3 exons. NCBI's taxonomy places the organism in Eukaryota, Metazoa, Arthropoda, Arachnida, Scorpiones, Buthidae. The record is from RefSeq and is a predicted model, not a curated record.